This is a non-coding RNA of Podarcis lilfordi (Lilford's wall lizard), 74 nucleotides long. The record is from the annotation of a GenBank genome assembly. NCBI's taxonomy places the organism in Eukaryota, Metazoa, Chordata, Lepidosauria, Squamata, Lacertidae.
GUCUAGAUAGCUCAGUUGGCUAGAGCGCGGUGCCGGUAAUGCCAAGGUAGCAGGUUCGAUUCCGGCAUGGGACA